CUUAUUCUAAGGCGCUUGAGAGAACUCAGGAGAAGGAACUCGGCAAAUUGACACCGUAACUUCGGAAGAAGGUGUGCCCUAUUAGUGUGAAGCGAACAGCGGAGCAUGAACGGGUUGCAAAAAAUCGGUGGCUGCGACUGUUUAUUAAAAACACAGCACUCUGCAAACACGAAAGUGGACGUAUAGGGUGUGACGCCUGCCCGGUGCUGGAAGAUUAAAUGAUGGGGUGCAAGCUCUUGAUUGAAGUCCCAGUAAACGGCGGCCGUAACGAUAACGGUCCUAAGGUAGCGAAAUUCCUUGUCGGGUAAGUUCCGACCUGCACGAAUGGCGUAACGAUGGCCACACUGUCUCCUCCUGAGACUCAGCGAAGUUGAAAUGUUUGUGAUGAUGCAAUCUCCCCGCGGAAAGACGGAAAGACCCCAUGAACCUUUACUGUAGCUUUGUAUUGGACUUUGAACAGAUCUGUGUAGGAUAGGUGGGAGGCUUUGAAGCAGGGUCGCUAGAUCUUGUGGAGCCAACGUUGAAAUACCACCCUGGUGUGUUUGAGGUUCUAACCUAGGUCCAUUAUCUGGAUCGGGGACCGUGCAUGGUAGGCAGUUUGACUGGGGCGGUCUCCUCCCAAAGCGUAACGGAGGAGUUCGAAGGUACGCUAGUUACGGUCGGACAUCGUGACGAUAGUGCAAUGGCAUAAGCGUGCUUAACUGCGAGACUGACAAGUCGAGCAGAUGCGAAAGCAGGACAUAGUGAUCCGGUGGUUCUGUAUGGAAGGGCCAUCGCUCAACGGAUAAAAGGUACUCUGGGGAUAACAGGCUGAUACCGCCCAAGAGUUCAUAUCGACGGCGGUGUUUGGCACCUCGAUGUCGGCUCAUCUCAUCCUGGGGCUGUAGCCGGUCCCAAGGGUAUGGCUGUUCGCCAUUUAAAGAGGUACGUGAGCUGGGUUUAAAACGUCGUGAGACAGUUUGGUCCCUAUCUUCCGUGGGCGCUGCAGAUUUGAGGAAGCCUGCUCCUAGUACGAGAGGACCGGAGUGGACACACCUCUGGUGUAUCGGUUGUCACGCCAGUGGCAUUGCCGAGUAGCUAUGUGUGGAAGAGAUAACCGCUGAAAGCAUCUAAGCGGGAAACUCGUUUCAAGAUGAGAUCUGCCGGGGCCUUGAGCCCCCUAAAGAGUCGUUCAAGACCAGGACGUUGAUAGGUCAGGUGUGGAAGCGCAGUAAUGCGUUAAGCUAACUGAUACUAAUUGCUCGUGCGGCUUGACCCU
This 1258-nucleotide ribosomal RNA is filed under the name metagenome. RNAcentral describes it as "bacterial LSU rRNA". It matches the Rfam family "Bacterial large subunit ribosomal RNA", at positions 1675 to 2925 of the family's 2925-position model. The record is from RNAcentral.